This 73-nucleotide transfer RNA is filed under the name Nicotiana sylvestris (wood tobacco). It matches the Rfam family "tRNA". From Rfam's summary of the family: Transfer RNA (tRNA) molecules are approximately 80 nucleotides in length. Their secondary structure includes four short double-helical elements and three loops (D, anti-codon, and T loops). Further hydrogen bonds mediate the characteristic L-shaped molecular structure. tRNAs have two regions of fundamental functional importance: the anti-codon, which is responsible for specific mRNA codon recognition, and the 3' end, to which the tRNAs corresponding amino acid is attached (by aminoacyl-tRNA synthetases). tRNAs cope with the degeneracy of the genetic code in two manners: having more than one tRNA (with a specific anti-codon) for a particular amino acid; and 'wobble' base-pairing, i.e. permitting non-standard base-pairing at the 3rd anti-codon position. The record is from Rfam by way of RNAcentral. Lineage: Eukaryota; Viridiplantae; Streptophyta; Magnoliopsida; Solanales; Solanaceae.
GUUCAGGUAGCUCACUGGUUAGAGCAAAGGACUGAAAAUCCUUAUGUCAGUGGUUCGAAUCCACUUCUAAGCA